UCNCGCGCGCGCACGGNGGAGUAACACGUAUGCAACCUGCCCCUGUCAGGGGGACAACCCGCCGAAAGGCGGGCUAAACCCGCGUACAUGCCACCGGGGCAUCCCGGAGGCAGGAAAGGCUUCGGCCGGACAGGGAUGGGCAUGCGGCGCAUUAGGCAGUAGGCGGGGUAACGGCCCACCUAACCGACGAUGCGUAGGGGUUCUGAGAGGAAGGUCCCCCACACUGGUACUGAGACACGGACCAGACUCCUACGGGAGGCAGCAG
RNAcentral lists this ribosomal RNA (265 nucleotides) under uncultured bacterium. RNAcentral describes it as "partial 16S ribosomal RNA". It matches the Rfam family "Bacterial small subunit ribosomal RNA", at positions 90 to 354 of the family's 1533-position model. The record is from RNAcentral.